Homo sapiens (human) is the source of this 2593-nucleotide long non-coding RNA. Ensembl annotates it as PKN2 antisense RNA 1. Its record names the gene PKN2-AS1. NCBI's taxonomy places the organism in Eukaryota, Metazoa, Chordata, Mammalia, Primates, Hominidae. The record is from Ensembl.
GGGGCGACGGGCCGGCCUCUCCGGGGACCAGGCGAGAGCAGGCUCCCGCUGCAGCAGGGCUGCAGAGAUGGGGUCCCCUCUGAUAAUUCUGUAAUCAUCCUCUGUUGAAAAUAAAGGUCUACAAAGUGUCCGUUACCCUGGAGCUGUACAAGUCACACACAGCUCCAUUGGAGAGAAAACUGGAUGGAACCAUUUGACUGAAAAUCCAUGUCAAAAGGCCAACAAGAAAGAGCUGAGACACUGCAGAAAGAGCAGGAAUAAAUAAGAGGUGAAGACAGACAGAGACCAGACAAGGAGGACUCAAUUACAGACUGACAGAAGACUCAAGGAAGAAAAUGAAGCUGGACCUGUGAAGAACUGUCGAAACAGCUGUAGAGGAAUUGUGGUGGAGGCAGUAAUGGCUCCUUUAGUAGCAGAGAAUAGAAAGAUCUCGAAAAUAAAGCCUAUUGUCAGGAGACUUGCACCCAUCCUGGCCUACUUCCAAGUAGAAACAAAAACAGAAACGAAGAUAUCCAUGAUACCUAAUGUUACAAGGAGAAGAAAGCACUUGUAAUCACAAGGGUACUGAGAAAAGAUGAAGUAUCCCAUCAUUUGAUUCUGGAUUGAGAACUCUUUGAGAGCAGAGACGAUGGCUUCACCUGAGUAUCCCCAGAGCCUGACGUUAGACAAAGACACAAACAAUGGUUUUCAUGAAAUGGAGCAGUAAAAGCAUUCUUCAUCAGACCAGCUCUCCAAAGUAAGAAUGCUCCCUGCCAAAGCUUGGAGAUGAGAAAUGAGUUGUAUAAUGAAAAGUUGUUUGUUUUCUGGAGUUUACAAGUCAAUUUGGGAUACUUCAUCAGCCAAGUUUUUAUCUCUGUACUGGCAACCAUUACAUGUUUUCAAUUUGAAAAAAUGUCCAUUUUUGCUUUCCAUGGCAUCUGUGCUAUAUUCAAACCACUCUGCAAUUUCAUGCAGACAAAGACUUUCCAAGUCACAUGGUCUAUUUGAGUAAUAGGAGUCCAUUAAGAAUGAACAGAGACAACCUGUAUUAUAGUGAUUUCUCCCUUUGUGGGUUUUGCAAUUUCCCUACCAAGCUUUGGUGUUUGAAGAUGACAUUUUGAAAAUUGGAUUUAACUACCUGAAAACUUAGGACACAGAAUUGCCGGCAACCAAUUAGUAGCCUGGAAGGACCUCACUGAGUCAUGACUGUCUGUUUAUCACUUCUUUUUGGAGGAAGGAUAAAGGAGAAAUGCCUAAUCUAUAGACAUCUUUUUGUUAUUUUCCUUAGAAAUGCUAUUCAAAUCUGGAGCUAAGGGAAAAGUCAGAUAUGAAUCCUUGGAGUCGUUAAGUGGCACAAUCUGAAUGUAAAUUUCAUGGCACCAGCCAGGCCUUCAGAUCUCAAUGGUAACUGUUGCUAACCCAAAUAUUGUCACUGAAAAAAUGACACCCAUUAAUAAUUACUAUUCCAAACACAUGAAAGCACCUGAGAAAUGUUCACUCCAGACAUGGUACUUUUGACUACAAAGGGUGAUGGUAUACAUAUUUAUGUGUAAUUGUUUCCUACAUAUGUUACAUUUGAAAACUCACUACAAUUUAUGUUUCCCAAUCUUUCUAGAAACUAGAAGAAAUAACCCAACAAUUAAAAGGCAAUCUAGUUUAACUGACUUGCCAAAGGGCUGACUUUUGAUAGUUAUUAUUCACCAGAAAACAAAACACUGGCUAUUAUGUGGGCUUUGGUAACAGCAUGGCAUGUAGUAGGCUUUACUAUUCAUAAUAAACAUAGAAUAAAAUGGAUGGAUGAAAGUAUCUGUAAUUAUACUUGAACAUAAGAAUCAAAUUUUGAAUAGAUUAUGUGUGUUUUCUUUUCUCUAAAUAUGUAUAAAAUUGAUAUCAAUGCUUGUAAUUACUACUAAAAGCUUUUGUGAUGAAAUGAUUGCCCCAUCUACUCAGGCUACUUUUAAUAUUGUCUUUGUCCAUGCGACUAUGGCAACAUCUUUGGUAUCUAUACCUCAUGCCUUGAUUUUACCUUCCACAAUGGGUCUUCAAACUGCAUCAUUCACAACAGAAACCAUCUGAGGGCACAGACAGUCUUUUGCUACCUCCUUCUGUUAUGGACUGAGUUUAUUUUAAAAUUUCUUUGUUGAAAUCCUAACCCUCAGUAUCUCAGAAUGUGACUAUAUGGAGAUAGGAAGAGGUAACUGAGUUAAAGUGAGGUCAUUAGGGUUGGCUCUAAUCCAGUAUGACUGGUGUCCUUUGAAGAAGAGGAAAUUUAGACACAGACAUGUACAGAGGGAAGACCAUGUGAAGACUCAGGGAGAAGGCAGCCAUCUGCAAGCCAAGAAGAGCCCCAGAAGAAACCAACUCUACUGACACCUUGAUCUCAGAUUUUUAGCUUCCAGAAUUAUAAGAAAAUAAAUUUCUGUUGUUUAAACCACCCAGUCUGUGGCACUGUGUUAUGGCAACUCUAGCAAACUUAUAUACCAUUUUUGUUUUUCUAAAUUUGUACACUUCUUUCCCAAAUAUCACUAGCCCUUGAAAGUUUGAAAUAUAUCCUAAGCUUCAUGUUAUAUGCAAAACCUAAAUUUUGUUUGCUUUCUCUGCACCUCCUAGACCA